Heterocephalus glaber (naked mole-rat) is the source of this 179-nucleotide small nuclear RNA. Its record names the gene U2. It matches the Rfam family "U2 spliceosomal RNA". From Rfam's summary of the family: U2 is a small nuclear RNA (snRNA) component of the spliceosome (involved in pre-mRNA splicing). Complementary binding between U2 snRNA (in an area lying towards the 5' end but 3' to hairpin I) and the branchpoint sequence (BPS) of the intron results the bulging out of an unpaired adenosine, on the BPS, which initiates a nucleophilic attack at the intronic 5' splice site, thus starting the first of two transesterification reactions that mediate splicing. NCBI's taxonomy places the organism in Eukaryota, Metazoa, Chordata, Mammalia, Rodentia, Bathyergidae. The record is from Ensembl.
AUCGCUUCUUGGCCUUUUGGCUAAGAUCAAGUGUACUAUAACAAAGUAUCUGAGGCUCUGUAUGUCAUAAGUAAAAGGAUUUAACUUAAAAUUUUGAACCUGAAAGUCCAAACAACAUGAUGCUAGCUGUGGUACAGACCUUUUGGCUGAUGGCAGAUGCCAUCAUGGUGGGUACACAU